AAAUUGAAGAGUUUGAUCAUGGCUCAGAUUGAACGCUGGCGGCAGGCCUAACACAUGCAAGUCGAACGGUAACAGGAAGCAGCUUGCUGCUUCGCUGACGAGUGGCGGACGGGUGAGUAAUGUCUGGGAAACUGCCUGAUGGAGGGGGAUAACUACUGGAAACGGUGGCUAAUACCGCAUAACGUCGCAAGACCAAAGAGGGGGACCUUCGGGCCUCUUGCCAUCAGAUGUGCCCAGAUGGGAUUAGCUAGUUGGUGAGGUAACGGCUCACCAAGGCGACGAUCCCUAGCUGGUCUGAGAGGAUGACCAGCCACACUGGAACUGAGACACGGUCCAGACUCCUACGGGAGGCAGCAGUGGGGAAUAUUGCACAAUGGGCGCAAGCCUGAUGCAGCCAUGCCGCGUGUAUGAAGAAGGCCUUCGGGUUGUAAAGUACUUUCAGCGGGGAGGAAGGUGUUGUGGUUAAUAACCGCAGCAAUUGACGUUACCC
This 490-nucleotide ribosomal RNA is filed under the name Salmonella enterica. RNAcentral's name for it is "bacterial SSU rRNA". It matches the Rfam family "Bacterial small subunit ribosomal RNA", at positions 1 to 480 of the family's 1533-position model. Lineage: Bacteria; Pseudomonadati; Pseudomonadota; Gammaproteobacteria; Enterobacterales; Enterobacteriaceae. RNAcentral also lists the same sequence under 3 other names. The record is from RNAcentral.